This 1466-nucleotide ribosomal RNA is filed under the name metagenome. Its description in RNAcentral is "bacterial SSU rRNA". It matches the Rfam family "Bacterial small subunit ribosomal RNA". The record is from RNAcentral.
AGAGUUUGAUCCUGGCUCAGGAUGAACGCUGGCGGCGUGCAUAACACAUUCAAGUCGAACGGGGUAAAGUGCUUCGGUACUUUACCAAGUGGCGGACGGGUGAGUAACGCGUGAGCAACCUGCCCCUAUGUUCGGGAUACCAACCGGAAACAGUUGUUAAUACCGAAUGACAUAACGGGAUUGCAUGGUCCUGUUAUCAAAGAUUUAUUGCAUAGGGAUGGGCUCGCGUCUGAUUAGGCAGUUGGUGAGGUAACGGCUCACCAAACCGACGAUCAGUAGCCGGACUGAGAGGUUGAACGGCCACAUUGGAACUGAGAUACGGUCCAGACUCCUACGGGAGGCAGCAGUGGGGAAUAUUGGGCAAUGGGCGAAAGCCUGACCCAGCGACGCCGCGUGAAGGAAGAAGGUCUUCGGAUUGUAAACUUCUUUUAUUGGGGACGAUAAUGACGGUACCCAAUGAAUAAGCCACGGCUAACUACGUGCCAGCAGCCGCGGUAAUACGUAGGUGGCGAGCGUUAUCCGGAUUUACUGGGUGUAAAGGGUGUGCAGGCGGGACUGCAAGUCAGAAGUGAAAAUCAUGGGCUCAACUCAUGACCUGCUUUUGAAACUGUGGUUCUUGAGGGUCGGAGAGGUUACUGGAAUUCCCGGUGUAGCGGUGAAAUGCGUAGAUAUCGGGAGGAAUACCGGUGGCGAAGGCGAGUAACUGGACGAAACCUGACGCUGAGACACGAAAGUGCGGGGAGCAAACAGGAUUAGAUACCCUGGUAGUCCGCACCGUAAACGAUGAAUGCUAGGUGUAGGGGCGCAAGCCUCUGUGCCGCAGUCAACACAAUAAGCAUUCCACCUGGGGAGUACGGCCGCAAGGUUGAAACUCAAAGGAAUUGACGGGAGCCCGCACAAGCAGUGGAGUAUGUGGUUUAAUUCGACGCAACGCGAAGAACCUUACCAGGACUUGACAUCCCCUGACUAUCGUCUAAUAGCGAGUCUCCCCUUCGGGGGACAGGGUGACAGGUGGUGCAUGGUUGUCGCCAGCUCGUGUCGUGAGAUGUUGGGUUAAGUCCCGCAACGAGCGCAACCCUUAUGGUCAGUUACUACGCAAGAGGACUCUGGCCAGACUGCCGUUGACAAAACGGAGGAAGGUGGGGAUGACGUCAAAUCAUCAUGCCCUUUAUGACUUGGGCUACACACGUACUACAAUGGCGUUAAACAAAGAGAAGCAAGACCGCGAGGUGGAGCAAAACUCAGAAACAACGUCCCAGUUCGGACUGCAGGCUGCAACUCGCCUGCACGAAGUCGGAAUUGCUAGUAAUCGUGGAUCAGCAUGCCACGGUGAAUACGUUCCCGGGCCUUGUACACACCGCCCGUCACACCAUGAGAGCCGAGGGGACCCGAAGUCGGUAGUCUAACCGCAAGGAGGACGCCGCCGAAGGUAAAACUGGUGAUUGGGGUGAAGUCGUAACAAGGUA